Molecule: unclassified non-coding RNA, 205 nt
Filed under: Hevea brasiliensis (rubber tree)
Lineage: Eukaryota; Viridiplantae; Streptophyta; Magnoliopsida; Malpighiales; Euphorbiaceae
Source: RNAcentral
UAGCUUCAAAUUAGAAGUGAAAUCACCAGCAAGUAAACGCCUCCGGACAAUAAUCAACAUAGCACAGCAGAUUCUGAGCAGUGUUUCCUGAGGUCCUUCAGGAUCACUUAGGAGAGUGUCCCAUAUAAGGAGACAAUCUGGAAAGUUGAACUCUUGCGUCAAAAGGAGAGUUAUCCACCUAAAUGCAUAGAACUGUGGAUUCACG